Molecule: unclassified non-coding RNA, 213 nt
Filed under: Hevea brasiliensis (rubber tree)
Lineage: Eukaryota; Viridiplantae; Streptophyta; Magnoliopsida; Malpighiales; Euphorbiaceae
Source: RNAcentral
GGCAGAUAGGCAGUUUAUGGAAGAAAUCCAAACAAGACAGUACAGGGCUCCUGAAGUCAUACUGCAGUCUGGAUAUUCCUACUCAGUUGACAUGUGGUCAUUUGGUUGCAUUGCUUUUGAACUCGCCACAGGUGACAUGAUGUUUACCCCAAAAGGAGGACAAGACUAUAGCGAGGACGAGGAUCAUCUUGCAUUGAUGAUGGAACUCCUUGG